Molecule: ribosomal RNA, 253 nt
Filed under: uncultured Stigonema sp.
Lineage: Bacteria; Bacillati; Cyanobacteriota; Cyanophyceae; Nostocales; Stigonemataceae
Description: partial 16S ribosomal RNA
Rfam family: Bacterial small subunit ribosomal RNA
Source: RNAcentral
UACGGAGGAUGCAAGCGUUAUCCGGAAUGAUUGGGCGUAAAGCGUCCGCAGGUGGCAGUGUAAGUCUGCUGUUAAAGAGUCUGGCUCAACCAGAUAAAGGCAGUGGAAACUACACAGCUAGAGUACGGUAGGGGCAGAGGGAAUUCCUGGUGUAGCGGUGAAAUGCGUAGAGAUCAGGAAGAACAUCGGUGGCGAAGGCGCUCUGCUAGACCGAAACUGACACUGAGGGACGAAAGCUAGGGGAGCGAAUGGG